CCUACGGGAGACAGCAGUGGGGAAUAUUGGGCAAUGGGCGCAAGCCUGACCCAGCAACGCCGCGUGAAGGAAGAAGGCUUUCUGGUUGUAAACUUCUUUUCUCAGGGACGAAGAAAGUGACGGUACCUGAGGAAUAAGCCACGGCUAACUACGUGCCCGCAGCCGCGGUAAUACGUAGGGGGCAAGCGUUAUCCGGAUUUACUGGGUGUAAAGGGCGUGUAGGCGGGACUGCAAGUCAGAUGUGAAAACCACGGGCUCAACCUGUGACCUGCAUUUGAAACUGUAGUGCUUGAGUACUGGAGAGGCAGACGGAAUUCCUAGUGUAGCGGUGAAAUGCGUAGAUAUUAGGAGGAACACCAGUGGCGAAGGCGGUCUGCUGGACAGCAACUGACGCUGAGGCGCGAAAGCGUGGGGAGCAAACAGGAUUAGAUACCCGUGUAGUC
RNAcentral lists this ribosomal RNA (443 nucleotides) under uncultured bacterium. RNAcentral's name for it is "partial 16S ribosomal RNA". It matches the Rfam family "Bacterial small subunit ribosomal RNA", at positions 338 to 795 of the family's 1533-position model. The record is from RNAcentral.